UAUGGUAUGUGUGCCACGCGGUAAUACGUAGGGAGCAAGCGUUGUCCGGAUUUACUGGGUGUAAAGGGUGCGUAGGCGGCUUUGCAAGUCAGAUGUGAAAUCUAUGGGCUCAACCCAUAAACUGCAUUUGAAACUGUAGAGCUUGAGUGAAGUAGAGGCAGGCGGAAUUCCCCGUGUAGCGGUGAAAUGCGUAGAGAUGGGGAGGAACACCAGUGGCGAAGGCGGCCUGCUGGGCUUUAACUGACGCUGAGGCACGAAAGCGUGGGUAGCAAACAGG
Molecule: ribosomal RNA, 277 nt
Filed under: Ruminococcus bromii
Lineage: Bacteria; Bacillati; Bacillota; Clostridia; Eubacteriales; Oscillospiraceae
Description: partial 16S ribosomal RNA
Rfam family: Bacterial small subunit ribosomal RNA
Source: RNAcentral